RNAcentral lists this long non-coding RNA (924 nucleotides) under Neodiprion pinetum (white pine sawfly). Its description in RNAcentral is "uncharacterized LOC124216670". Lineage: Eukaryota; Metazoa; Arthropoda; Insecta; Hymenoptera; Diprionidae. The record is from RNAcentral.
UCGUCACCUCAACGUCAAUCGUGGAGAGUUCGAUGCUGAAAGAGUGAAACCGUAUUUCUGGUACCCUGGAUUGAACGCUCGCAAAAUAGUCUCAUCGCGAAUCGACACUUGAAAAAAUAUUGUGCCACGUGCUGCACGAAAGUCCGCCUGCUUGGGAAACGACUAUUUCAUGCAGCAACAAGGGCUCCAAAGCAGGUAUUCCAUAUUCGGCAACUCCAUCCACAAGAAGUGGCCGAAGGUGAUCUAUGCUUUCGGAUACGCAAUUUGGCAAGUCCGGAUCCUGCCGCUUGCACACCUUGAGGAAGUCAGCUGCAGGUCUGAGGACAUCGAUUUGAACAAAUUGAUCUGGGACUUAUUUAUAGCAAUGUUUGAAACAUGUAACAUUUAAAAAGACAGUUAAAAAGUUGUCUUGCUGAAGUUGUUUAAAAUUGCUGUGAAGCUCAUUUUACUACAGUAUUCAAAGUGAUGCAAAAGUCGAUUCACUUCACUGAAAAGUAUUGUAAUCUUAUCUAGAUUUUAUGUACGUACGAAAAGCAAUAACCUUGAACAAUUGAAUUUUGUUGAUUUACGUAUAGUAAGAAUUGGAAAAUAGAGUAAGCAGCAAUUUGCCUUUGAAACAACUUAUGUUAAUAUACGAGUUUACGGUUGGUAAAGUGGGUUAAUUUUGGUAAUUUACAGCUCCACAACGAAUUACUUGAUUCAAUUCAAGUUAUUUUAAUUAACUGACAUGAAUUAAAAGAAAUAUUUGAAUAUACCUUGAUCUAUAUAAUUUCGAAUAAAACUAUCUUCAAUCGAUUAGUUGAUGAGAUAUAAAUCCCUUGUCAACCAUUAACUCGUAGCAAUCCCCUCAAGGAUUGAUUGUUUCGAUUUUCAUGUGAAAUUCACAGUUACACAGCUUGCCUGAAAAGCAUUUGUUACCCGGAA